UUGGACGCUGGCGGCAUGCUUUACACAUGCAAGUCGAACGGCAGCGGGGGCUUCGGCCCGCCGGCGAGUGGCGAACGGGUGAGUAAUGCAUCGGAACGUACCCAGUCGUGGGGGAUAACUACGCGAAAGCGUAGCUAAUACCGCAUACGCCCUGAGGGGGAAAGUGGGGGAUCGCAAGACCUCACGUUAUUCGAGCGGCCGACGUCUGAUUAGCUAGUUGGUGGGGUAAAGGCUCACCAAGGCGACGAUCAGUAGCGGGUCUGAGAGGAUGAUCCGUCACACUGGAACUGAGACACGGUCCAGACUCCUACGGGAGGCAGCAGUGGGGAAUUUUGGACAAUGGGGGCAACCCUGAUCCAGCCAUUCCGCGUGAGUGAAGAAGGCCUUCGGGUUGUAAACUGCUUUUGUACGGAGCGAAAAGGCUCUCUCUAAUACAGGGGGCUCAUGACGGUACCGUAAGAAUAAGCACCGGCUAACUACGU
RNAcentral lists this ribosomal RNA (482 nucleotides) under uncultured bacterium. RNAcentral's name for it is "bacterial SSU rRNA". It matches the Rfam family "Bacterial small subunit ribosomal RNA", at positions 30 to 506 of the family's 1533-position model. The record is from RNAcentral.